CGGGCGUCCACGCCGAAUCCGGGCCGCCCGUACGGGGUCCGGAACCGGGGACCCACACGCAGCACCGGGGUGAAUCGGUCCGCAACCCCCACCAGGACCGUAGGGCAGCCUUCCGUUCCGCCCGAACCCGACAGCUAACCCGGUAGGCGGUCCACGGAAGGAAAU
This 165-nucleotide small RNA is filed under the name Streptomyces sp. Its description in RNAcentral is "c-di-AMP sequence". It matches the Rfam family "c-di-AMP riboswitch aptamer (ydaO/yuaA leader)". From Rfam's summary of the family: This family represents a conserved RNA structure found upstream of the ydaO and yuaA genes in Bacillus subtilis and related genes in other bacteria. The ydaO/yuaA element is thought to act as a genetic "off" switch for the ydaO and yuaA genes in its native state. RNAcentral also lists the same sequence under 1 other name. The record is from RNAcentral. Lineage: Bacteria; Bacillati; Actinomycetota; Actinomycetes; Kitasatosporales; Streptomycetaceae.